CCAAAGCAGAUAAGAAACACCGGUUCUCGUUCGAUCACCGAAGUUAAGCAUCGUAGAGCCAGGUCAGUACUUUGAUGGGGACCGCUUAAACACCUGGUACUGUAAG
RNAcentral lists this ribosomal RNA (106 nucleotides) under Acanthosepion pharaonis. Lineage: Eukaryota; Metazoa; Mollusca; Cephalopoda; Sepiida; Sepiidae. The record is from RNAcentral.